Long non-coding RNA from Dipodomys ordii (Ord's kangaroo rat), 520 nucleotides. RefSeq lists it as uncharacterized. The record is from RefSeq and is a predicted model, not a curated record. The transcript has 3 exons. NCBI's taxonomy places the organism in Eukaryota, Metazoa, Chordata, Mammalia, Rodentia, Heteromyidae.
AAAACAGAGCGUGUUGACAAACUGCAGAGUAACAGCUUGGCCUUCACAGAACUACCUAUGUACUUUGUGCUAUUUUUGGCCAGAGCAGAUGUGGCCUUGAUAGACUGUGGAGAAAAUUAUCUCUCAGGUAAGUGAAUAAAAUUAGGACUGAAAUAAUAUAAAUCCUGCCAUUUGCAAAUAGACCCUGAGCUGGGAGCAGAGAAGGAAGCCUGCCCUUGGAAUCUAACAGUAUAUUGCCCUGAAUGUUUACUCCAGGAAGAUCAGCAAUCCACUAUUUGGCUUCAGCCAUGUGAAGGAGAAUGUGUGACCGCCAAGGGCUCAAGAGAGGAAAAUAGUUUAUAUCCCAUUCUUCCUCAAUAGUCAGGGAGAAGACGAGGCUUGGAGAAAGUUGGCGUUCUGGAUCUAUUUGGAAAACGCUCUGCCAUCUUGACUCGCCUGACAGAAUUACUUGGAACCUACAUAAAUAAAUUAACUGAGAAGAUCAACCUGCUUUGAAAGGACACUUGUAUUUUAAGCAGAG